RNAcentral lists this long non-coding RNA (981 nucleotides) under Pogona vitticeps (central bearded dragon). RNAcentral describes it as "lncRNA (ENSPVIG00000000466.1)". The record is from RNAcentral. Lineage: Eukaryota; Metazoa; Chordata; Lepidosauria; Squamata; Agamidae.
CAUCUUGCUCAGCUGCCCACCACCACACACACACACUUAGUGCCCAUCAACCAGGCUGUACAGGGAGGGGUAUCAGAUGGAGGUGGAGGGAUGAGACAGGGAGCCUGGCGAUCGAAGCACAAAGCAGAGGGAGACGAGGCCCUUGGGUGGCACUGCUGAGGCUUUUCAGUCACUUCAGGUAGCCAAAGGUCCAGGAAGGGCUCAGGCCUCUGCCAUUCUUUGGGAGGUGGCUCACUCCACACACAGAUCGGUCAUCUCCUCUCACUUCUCUGGUCUCUCCCACCCAGAUGCACCUACAGAAUAAAACUAGGAACAAACACCAUUGGGGCACCUGAAACAGGGUGGACUGCAAUGGUUGGCAAGCAAUACUGUAUCUGAAGUCAGGGAGCUUUCCUUCAGUUUUGCCCAGUCUGAAAUCGCCUUCGUCAGUCACCCACUCCUCCAAACUUUGCCAUAGAAAACGUUACCUUUGUUUUGUGCUGCCUUAGUCUCAGGGUAGCAAUUGAACCAUCUCCUCCAUUCUUCAGCUUCACAAACAGAAAUGUGGAAGAAAAGGCUGCUGACACCGAGAAGAUAAAAUGGCACCCAAAAAAGCCCCAGCAGAAAAAACACUGUUUCAAAAAAUAAAGGAUUUUUGGGCAAGUCCAAUGGGUAUAUAUGUGGCUAUAGUAUUCACCAUCAUCCUUGUUGUCAUGGCAAUAGGAAGUGCCCUUGUGUGUCUGAAUGAGGCGAGCAGAACAGCUGACCUACGAUAUGCAAUGGAGCUUGUUAAGAAAUUUAUGAUGACAAAAGAUCCAAGCUAUGAAACUAGGGAUGGUAAGUACGGUAAUGAAUUCAAGUAUUUCCGAUUCUUUCCACCAGGUACUCUACCUAGAAUACAUCCACCGAGCAGAUAUCCAUGUGCAAUCUCUGACGUCAGUUUAGAGAAAGGUCAAGUUAAUAACUGGGUUAGAUGGGAACAAUGGUGAUUGGAAGAAGAAC